GCUAAAAAUCUAGCUCUCCCCCCAACAUAUGCACCCCUCAUCCCCAAAUUUCAUCAAUUAAAACAUUUUUUUAAUUUAGUAAAGGAGAUUGAAAAACUUAUUGAAGCAAUAUACCUAGUACCGUAAGGGAAAGAUGAAAUAUUAAUGAAAAUCUUUAAGCAUAAAAAAGUAGAGCCUAACUCUCGUACCUUUUGCAUCAUGGUUCAACUAGUCUAAUCAAGCAAAGAGCAUUAUAGUUUGACCCCCCGAAACUAAGCGAGCUACUUCAGGGCAGCUUUACGAGCCAACCCGUCUCUGUUGCAAAAGAGUGGGAAGACCCCCAAGUAGAGGUGACAUACCUACCGAGCUUAGUGAUAGCUGGUUAUUCAGGAAAAGGAUUUUAGUCCAACCUAAAGUCUUAUUUUUAAAAUAAAAACCUCUAUUGACUUUAGAGCAAUUCAAAUAAGGUACAGCCUAUUUGAAAUAGGAUACAACCUCGUCCGACGGGUAAAAUUUCUUACCUUAACUUUAAGUGGGCCUAAAAGCAGCCAUCUUUCUAAAAGCGUCACAGCUUAAUCUUACAUAACCUUCAAUACCCUAACCUAAUUUUAACCCUCCACUAAUACUGAGUAACUCUAUACCCCUUAUAGAAGAUUUUAUGUUGAAACUAGUAACAAGAAGCAAGACCUUCUCUUAAAUGCAAGCACAAAUCAGAAAGGACAGACCACUGAUAAUUAACGCCAAUGAUCACCAAUCAGCAACCUCCCAAGAAAAACCUAAUUACUCUUGACGUUAACCUGACACCAGAGCAUUUCAAGAAAGAUUUAAAGAGAAAGAAGGAACUCGGCAAUCAUUAACCCCGCCUGUUUACCAAAAACAUCGCCUCUUGAGUUAAAAAUAAGAGGUCCAGCCUGCCCAGUGACAAAUGUUCAACGGCCGCGGUAUCCUAACCGUGCGAAGGUAGCGUAAUCACUUGUUCUUUAAAUGUGGACUAGUAUGAACGGCACCACGAGGGUUAUACUGUCUCCUUUCUCCAAUCAGUGAAACUAAUCUCCCCGUGAAGAAGCGGGGAUACAAAUAUAAGACGAGAAGACCCUAUGGAGCUUAAAAGUUUACUUCAAACGCUAACCCCCUGCAAAGUCAUAGACUACCACAAGAAGCCACGCGCUAUGAAAACAACUUUUAGGUUGGGGUGACCAUGGAGCACAAAAUAACCUCCACGCUGAACAGGCCUCCAAGCCUCGAGCCAAGGGCCACAACCCGCCGCACUAAAAAAUUAACAUCCAUUGAUCCAAUGAAUUUUGAUCAACGAACCAAGUUACCCUAGGGAUAACAGCGCAAUCUACUUCAAGAGUUCCUAUCGACAAGUGGGUUUACGACCUCGAUGUUGGAUCAGGGUGUCCCAGUGGUGCAGCCGCUACUAAUGGUUCGUUUGUUCAACGAUUAAAACCCU
RNAcentral lists this ribosomal RNA (1432 nucleotides) under Scinax nasicus (lesser snouted treefrog). RNAcentral's name for it is "partial 16S ribosomal RNA". It matches the Rfam family "Bacterial large subunit ribosomal RNA", at positions 133 to 2597 of the family's 2925-position model. The record is from RNAcentral. Lineage: Eukaryota; Metazoa; Chordata; Amphibia; Anura; Hylidae.